GGCCGGGUGCAGCCCCGUGGGCUCGGCGCGCUGCUCUAGGUUGCAGGAAAACCUGUCUCUCCCAGCGUGGUUGGGGAGGGGGCUGGGUUUUGCUUUUUGUUUCUGGAAGUCCCCCUUCACCCUCGUUAGUCCCCGCGUGCAGCCGUGAGGAUCGUGUGGAAAGGCUGCAGUGCCCCGGGGCGCACCCCGCCCCGCGCACGCCGGGACGCCAAAAGGCACAGCCCCGGGGGGCUCCCUGCACCCAGGAGGAGGCGCGGCUGACACUUCCGAUGCCAAGUUUCUAAGGGAAACAAAAUUCUACUGUAAAGACAUUAAAGCAGCAGAGAGCCACUGAGGACAGAAGCGCCAUAGAGAGAGGGACCAUCCUACCAGCACCGGAAGCUCCAUAGAGAAGGGGACCAUCCCACUGGCACCACGCUGCCCAGCACUGCUGUGUUUUGGCUGCAGCAGCAGAGAGCUGACUGAGGCGGCUAGCUUCCUGUGGGACGAGUGGCGUGAGUACCAGCAAGCAGGGCACUGAGCAGAAGACGUGGGCAAGAUGCGAAGAUUCUCAGUGACACGUGGCCAGAGUUCCAGGGUCCUGGGUAACCAGGCCUGGUUAAGCAUUUGGCUGGUUAAGCUUUCAGGCUUUUG
Long non-coding RNA from Peromyscus leucopus (white-footed mouse), 633 nucleotides. RefSeq lists it as uncharacterized. The record is from RefSeq and is a predicted model, not a curated record. The transcript is spliced from 4 exons. NCBI's taxonomy places the organism in Eukaryota, Metazoa, Chordata, Mammalia, Rodentia, Cricetidae.